Molecule: ribosomal RNA, 465 nt
Filed under: uncultured bacterium
Lineage: Bacteria
Description: bacterial SSU rRNA
Rfam family: Bacterial small subunit ribosomal RNA
Source: RNAcentral
CAAGCGGUGGAGCAUGUGGUUUAAUUCGAUGCAACGCGAAGAACCUUACCUACUCUUGACAUCCACGGAAUUCGGCAGAGAUGCCUUAGUGCCUUCGGGAACCGUGAGACAGGUGCUGCAUGGCUGUCGUCAGCUCGUGUUGUGAAAUGUUGGGUUAAGUCCCGCAACGAGCGCAACCCUUAUCCUUUGUUGCCAGCGAUACGGUCGGGGACUCAAAGGAGACUGCCGGUGAUAAACCGGAGGAAGGUGGGGAUGACGUCAAGUCAUCAUGGCCCUUACGAGUAGGGCUACACACGUGCUACAAUGGCGCAUACAAAGAGAAGCGACCUCGCGAGAGCAAGCGGACCUCAGAAAGUGCGUCGUAGUCCGGAUCGGAGUCUGCAACUCGACUCCGUGAAGUCGGAAUCGCUAGUAAUCGUGGAUCAGAAUGCCACGGUGAAUACGUUCCCGGGCCUUGUACACACC